ACCAUGAAAAUGAGGUCAAGGUCACAUGACAUCUGCCCGCUAGACAUGUACACCUUACAAUCAUUCCAUACAACAAAUAUAGUAGACCUAUUGCAUAUACAUGUAGUAUGAAAAAAACAGACCAAAACACAAAAAUUUAACUAUAACCACUGAACCAUGAAAAUGAGGUCAAGGUCAGAUGACACCUGCCAGUUGGACAUGUACACCUUACAGUCCUU
RNAcentral lists this long non-coding RNA (218 nucleotides) under Mytilus galloprovincialis (Mediterranean mussel). Lineage: Eukaryota; Metazoa; Mollusca; Bivalvia; Mytilida; Mytilidae. The record is from RNAcentral.